This 576-nucleotide long non-coding RNA is filed under the name Glycine max (soybean). Its description in RNAcentral is "long non-coding RNA (GMAX_LNC003154)". Lineage: Eukaryota; Viridiplantae; Streptophyta; Magnoliopsida; Fabales; Fabaceae. The record is from RNAcentral.
UUGAGGCGGGGGUUGAGCAUGACAUUGUAAUGGCCGGAGUCGUGGCCUAUCCAGCCGCUCUGAAUCCAGAGGAAGCCUACUAAUGCUCCGGACAGCACGUGCACGCACGUGCUGUCAGAGAGCAGGACUCCACAGAGGGAGAGAGGGAAAAGGACGAGUAUAAGGGAGAGGAGGAUGGAAGUGGUGUGGCCCUUGCGGUUGAAGAGGUUGAGAGAGGAGAGGUCGGAGAAGAGCUUGCGGUAGUCGGAGGAGGCGGGGGAGACGGAGUGGUCCGAGAGGAGGUGGGGGGUGGCGAAGGCGGGGAGGAGGAGGGAGGCGGAGUUCGGGGGGUGCAAGGCGAGGAAGGCGUCAGUGGCGUCGGUGCCGGCGAGGCUGAGGAGGGGGAGGGGGCCGCCGGGGUGGCGGUGGAGCCAGGAGGAGACGUCGUAGACCUUGCCGUGGAUGGAGAUCCAGGCGUCGUGGCGCGUGUUGUGCUUGCGGAGCUCAUCGGAGGAAAUGUAGGAUGUGGGAGGGUCCAUUGAGUGAGAAUGGAAUAGAAGUGGUGAGGUGAGUGGGUGAGUGAGUGAGGGAAAGGGU